RNAcentral lists this ribosomal RNA (520 nucleotides) under uncultured bacterium. RNAcentral describes it as "bacterial SSU rRNA". It matches the Rfam family "Bacterial small subunit ribosomal RNA", at positions 8 to 518 of the family's 1533-position model. The record is from RNAcentral.
AGAGUUUGAUUCUGGCUCAGGAUGAACGCUAGCUACAGGCUUAACACAUGCAAGUCGAGGGGCAGCGAGAAGAAAGCUUGCUUCUUGUCGGCGACCGGCGCACGGGUGAGUAACGCGUAUCCAACCUUCCCCUUAGUAGGGCAUAGCCCGUAGAAAUGCGGAUUAAUACCCUAUGUGUUCGAUGCGGACAUCUAAGUUGAACCAAAGGUUUACCGCUAAGGGAUGGGGAUGCGUCUGAUUAGGCAGCAGGCGGGGUAACGGCCCACCUGGCCGACGAUCAGUAGGGGUUCUGAGAGGAAGGUCCCCCACAUUGGAACUGAGACACGGUCCAAACUCCUACGGGAGGCAGCAGUGAGGAAUAUUGGUCAAUGGGCGCGAGCCUGAACCAGCCAAGUAGCGUGCAGGGAAUGACGGCUCUAUGGGUUGUAAACUGCUUUUAUGCGGGGAUAAAGUGCGGCACGUGUGCCGUUUUGUAGGUACCGCAUGAAUAAGGACCGGCUAGUUCCGUGCCAGCAGCUGC